Molecule: ribosomal RNA, 477 nt
Filed under: Bacillus amyloliquefaciens
Lineage: Bacteria; Bacillati; Bacillota; Bacilli; Caryophanales; Bacillaceae
Description: bacterial SSU rRNA
Rfam family: Bacterial small subunit ribosomal RNA
Source: RNAcentral
GCAAGUCGAGCGGACAGAUGGGAGCUUGCUCCCUGAUGUUAGCGGCGGACGGGUGAGUAACACGUGGGUAACCUGCCUGUAAGACUGGGAUAACUCCGGGAAACCGGGGCUAAUACCGGAUGGUUGUUUGAACCGCAUGGUUCAGACAUAAAAGGUGGCUUCGGCUACCACUUACAGAUGGACCCGCGGCGCAUUAGCUAGUUGGUGAGGUAACGGCUCACCAAGGCGACGAUGCGUAGCCGACCUGAGAGGGUGAUCGGCCACACUGGGACUGAGACACGGCCCAGACUCCUACGGGAGGCAGCAGUAGGGAAUCUUCCGCAAUGGACGAAAGUCUGACGGAGCAACGCCGCGUGAGUGAUGAAGGUUUUCGGAUCGUAAAGCUCUGUUGUUAGGGAAGAACAAGUGCCGUUCAAAUAGGGCGGCACCUUGACGGUACCUAACCAGAAAGCCACGGCUAACUACGUGCCAGCAGCC